GGGGAUAUAGCUCAGUUGGUAGAGUGCUUGCUUCGUGCCCAAGGCCCUGGGUUCAAUCCCCAGUACCA
Molecule: transfer RNA, 68 nt
Filed under: Ictidomys tridecemlineatus (thirteen-lined ground squirrel)
Lineage: Eukaryota; Metazoa; Chordata; Mammalia; Rodentia; Sciuridae
Description: Spermophilus tridecemlineatus (thirteen-lined ground squirrel) tRNA
Rfam family: tRNA
About the family: Transfer RNA (tRNA) molecules are approximately 80 nucleotides in length. Their secondary structure includes four short double-helical elements and three loops (D, anti-codon, and T loops).
Source: Rfam by way of RNAcentral